Molecule: long non-coding RNA, 1418 nt
Organism: Salvia miltiorrhiza (redroot sage)
Lineage: Eukaryota; Viridiplantae; Streptophyta; Magnoliopsida; Lamiales; Lamiaceae
Exons: 2
Source: RefSeq, a predicted model, not a curated record
UCUCUCUCUUCAAAAACAAGAAAAGAAUGCUGCAACGUCUCUCACUCUCUCUUGCUCGAUUUUUCUCCCUCUCUUCCCUUCUCUAUUCGUCGCCUCUCUCUUCCUCCACAUGAAGCACGCCGUCGAAGACGUCUCUGUGCCAGCGGAGAACAUGUCGUAGACAACUGCUCGCGGGUUCCUCAUCAGCUCCGCCAUCGCCCAGUCCAUCGCCGUCGACUGCUGCUGUUCUGGAGUUGGCCGCCGACUGCUGCUGUUCGUCGAGGAGUCCGAUGACUGCUGCUGUUCGUCGAGGAGUCCGCUGACUGCUGCUGUUCGUCGAGGAGUCGCGGCUGUUGCUGCCGACAGAGGCCAUCUCGCCGUUUGGUGCCGCCGCCGUCGGCUGCCGCUGCCUCGCCCAAAACUGACUCCCGGAGUCGCCGUUCGUCGUAGCGAAGGUCUCGGCAGUUCGUCAUCUUCCCCGUUCGAAUUUGCUGAAGGACACGAAGAGGAGCCCAAAUUCUUCUCUCUUGAUUUGGGUCUCGAUCCGCCGCUGCCUCUACUCCGGUGGGUCGCCGUUCGUUCAGUCUGGAGUCCGGCGAGGCAGCAUUCGACCGUCGUCGUUAACUUCGUCAUCUCGGCUCGACCGAACAGAACAGUCGGCCUCAGUUCCUGAGCAGGGCAGUAGCCCCGCUCCCUCUCAAUCAAGCUAAGUUAUAUCCUUGACUCGUCUUCUUCCUACCAUGUCUGAGUAUCGAUAAGCUUAAGCUUCUAUGAGUAAGAAAGAAUCAGGGUUUAACACUCUGUCAGUGAGCAUGCUAUCGCUAUCCUUGUUCGUUCAUUCAUGUGCUAUGUGUGAGGUCCUCAUGGUUUGUGUUCUAGAGUGCAGUGGCAGUAUACACAUAAGUCUUUCUAUUGCUAUACAUAACAUGGACUGUUUGAUGUAGUGGUAAAACAUGAUUAUGCUCGUUGGUAUGAAUGCGAACUCGAUUGGAUAACUGAGGUGGAAUAAGGGAAGAAGGUGGAGCAUUGAAGACAAGCUUACCUUGAGAAUACUUGGUAGGAUGAAUUAAAGGCUCACUUCUCCUUGUGCAGUCCUCAAAUGAAGAAUGAAGAGAAUGCAACAAUGUUGGCUGUUUUGAAUGACGAGGUGGUUUGGCUGGGAGCUUGUAUACAUGGGAGGAGGUACAUUCUAGGGUGGCUGAUUGACAUAUUUAGGUGUACUUGGGCAUGGCAGCCUGCUGCAUAGGCGUGGGAAAAGAAAAGGUGCAGCAAGCUCAAGAGGGGAUAGGGGAGUGUGCAGCACAUGUCUCCAUACCUUAUUGUUAUUCCCAUUUUCUUGAACUUAGGGGGGGGGGUGGCAGGUGGUGGAGUAGUAAAAAUCUAAUUUGUAUUAUUAUCGAGAUUGCUAAAUUAAAUCCAUAGAUUUAAUUCGUUCGUCA